Molecule: ribosomal RNA, 816 nt
Filed under: Escherichia coli
Lineage: Bacteria; Pseudomonadati; Pseudomonadota; Gammaproteobacteria; Enterobacterales; Enterobacteriaceae
Description: partial 23S ribosomal RNA
Rfam family: Bacterial large subunit ribosomal RNA
Source: RNAcentral
UGUGAGCUCGAUGAGUAGGGCGGGACACGUGGUAUCCUGUCUGAAUAUGGGGGGACCAUCCUCCAAGGCUAAAUACUCCUGACUGACCGAUAGUGAACCAGUACCGUGAGGGAAAGGCGAAAAGAACCCCGGCGAGGGGAGUGAAAAAGAACCUGAAACCGUGUACGUACAAGCAGUGGGAGCCUCUUUUAUGGGGUGACUGCGUACCUUUUGUAUAAUGGGUCAGCGACUUAUAUUCUGUAGCAAGGUUAACCGAAUAGGGGAGCCGAAGGGAAACCGAGUCUUAACUGGGCGUUAAGUUGCAGGGUAUAGACCCGAAACCCGGUGAUCUAGCCAUGGGCAGGUUGAAGGUUGGGUAACACUAACUGGAGGACCGAACCGACUAAUGUUGAAAAAUUAGCGGAUGACUUGUGGCUGGGGGUGAAAGGCCAAUCAAACCGGGAGAUAGCUGGUUCUCCCCGAAAGCUAUUUAGGUAGCGCCUCGUGAAUUCAUCUCCGGGGGUAGAGCACUGUUUCGGCAAGGGGGUCAUCCCGACUUACCAACCCGAUGCAAACUGCGAAUACCGGAGAAUGUUAUCACGGGAGACACACGGCGGGUGCUAACGUCCGUCGUGAAGAGGGAAACAACCCAGACCGCCAGCUAAGGUCCCAAAGUCAUGGUUAAGUGGGAAACGAUGUGGGAAGGCCCAGACAGCCAGGAUGUUGGCUUAGAAGCAGCCAUCAUUUAAAGAAAGCGUAAUAGCUCACUGGUCGAGUCGGCCUGCGCGGAAGAUGUAACGGGGCUAAACCAUGCACCGAAGCUGCGGCAGCGACACU